ACCCAGGCAUGCUCAGUACGGCGAGUGAGCGGCAAAAGCUCAAAUUUGAAAUCUGGCACUUUCAGUGUCCGAGUUGUAAUUUGUAGAAGUAGUUUUGGGACUGGUCCUUAUCUAUGUUUCUUGGAACAGGACGUCAUAGAGGGUGAGAACCCCGUAUGAUGAGGCCCCCAGUCCUUUGUAAAACGCUUUCGAAGAGUCGAGUUGUUUGGGAAUGCAGCUCUAAGUGGGUGGUAAAUUCCAUCUAAAGCUAAAUAUUGGCGAGAGACCGAUAGCGAACAAGUACAGUGAUGGAAAGAUGAAAAGAACUUUGAAAAGAGAGUGAAAAAGUACGUGAAAUUGUUGAAAGGGAAGGGCAUUUGAUCAGACAUGGUGUUUUGCGCCCUUUGCUCCUUGUGGGCGGAGGAUACGCAGCUCACUGGGCCAACAUCAGUUUUGGGAGCAGGAUAAAUCUGUAGGAACGUAGCUUUCUUCGGGAAGUGUUAUAGCCUAUGGGAAUACUGCUACCUGGGACUGAGGACUGCGUCUUUUGACAAGGAUGUUGGCAUAAUGGUUAAAUGCCGCCCGUCUUGAACCCACGGACCA
RNAcentral lists this ribosomal RNA (582 nucleotides) under Hanseniaspora occidentalis. Its description in RNAcentral is "partial large subunit ribosomal RNA". It matches the Rfam family "Eukaryotic large subunit ribosomal RNA", at positions 67 to 668 of the family's 3401-position model. Lineage: Eukaryota; Fungi; Ascomycota; Saccharomycetes; Saccharomycodales; Saccharomycodaceae. The record is from RNAcentral.